This 774-nucleotide ribosomal RNA is filed under the name uncultured Neocallimastigales. RNAcentral's name for it is "partial large subunit ribosomal RNA". It matches the Rfam family "Eukaryotic large subunit ribosomal RNA", at positions 24 to 643 of the family's 3401-position model. The record is from RNAcentral. Lineage: Eukaryota; Fungi; Neocallimastigomycota; Neocallimastigomycetes; Neocallimastigales.
CAUCACUACGCUAGAGCAUAUCAAUAAGCGGAGGAAAAGAAACUAACAAGGAUUCCCCUAGUAACGGCGAGUGAAGCGGGAAGAGCUCAAAUUUGAAAUCUUAAAGGGUUUCCCUUUACGAAUUGUAGUUUAAAGAAGUGUUUUCUGUUGGAGUUUCGGUAAAAGUUCUUUGGAAUAGGACAUCAUAGAGGGUGAGAAUCCCGUAUUUGACCGUUACUUUUCAGCUGUGUGAUACACUUUCAAAGAGUCGGAUUGUUUGGGAAUGCAGUCCAAAAUGGGUGGUAAAUUUCAUCUAAAGCUAAAUAUUGGCGAGAGACCGAUAGCGAACAAGUACCGUGAGGGAAAGAUGAAAAGAACUUUGAAAAGAGAGUUAAACAGUACGUGAAAUUGUCAAAAGGGAAGCGUUUGACACCAGUGUUGUUUAGUUGAAAAUCAAUUAAAUAUUUUCGAUUUUAAGUAGUAUUGACCUUAUCAGCUUGCUGCCUUCUUUUCUGGAAAUUAUUUAAUGCACUUUUCAGUUAACAAGUCAACAUCAAUUUCUUUUGUUGUAAAAGGGUAAGAGGAAGGUGGCUUGCGCUUCGGCUCAAGUGUUUAUAGCCUUUUACCUCUGCAAUCGGAGAGAUUGAGGUCUGCAGCGUAGAUCCUUCGGGGUUAGAUACAUUUGUGCUAAGCUAUAGCCUUGUAUAGACAACUUGUUGACUAUGCUCAGUCAUGUAGCUUACUCGCUUAUGCUAUUUUACCUACGCUUAGGAUGUUGACACACGCGCGUGCUCG